RNAcentral lists this long non-coding RNA (214 nucleotides) under Lathyrus oleraceus (garden pea). Its description in RNAcentral is "Pisum sativum (pea) long non-coding RNA (PSAT_LNC025947)". The record is from RNAcentral. Lineage: Eukaryota; Viridiplantae; Streptophyta; Magnoliopsida; Fabales; Fabaceae.
UUUUUUAUGGGUUUUCUAUUUUCUCCUUUAUUUUAAUUGGUUUAAAAAUACUUUUAUGCAUUUUUAAAUUCUUAAAAAUUUAUUUUAUGCUUCUUAUUUUAUUUUCAACCUUGCAUAAUUUUCUUGGUCAUUAUUUAGUAUUUUGAAGGACUCUAUGAAUUUUCUCUUUUAUUUCCCUUUUAUAAUUCAUUUUAAAAAUAUUUUUUAAUCCAUU